Molecule: ribosomal RNA, 253 nt
Filed under: uncultured bacterium
Lineage: Bacteria
Description: partial 16S ribosomal RNA
Rfam family: Bacterial small subunit ribosomal RNA
Source: RNAcentral
UACGGGGGGGGCAAGCGUUGUUCGGAAUUACUGGGCGUAAAGGGCUCGUCGGCGGCCAACUAAGUCGGACGUGAAAUCCCCAGGCUCAACCUGGGAACUGCGUCUGAUACUGGAUGGCUUGAAUCCGGGAGAGGGAUGCAGAAUUCCAGGUGUAGCGGUGAAAUGCGUAGAUAUCUGGAGGAAUACCGGUGGCGAAGGCGGCAUCCUGGACCGGCAUUGACGCUGAGGAGCGAAAGCCAGGGGAGCAAACGGG